Molecule: ribosomal RNA, 468 nt
Filed under: uncultured bacterium
Lineage: Bacteria
Description: partial 16S ribosomal RNA
Rfam family: Bacterial small subunit ribosomal RNA
Source: RNAcentral
GACGAACGCUGGCGGCGUGCUUAACACAUGCAAGUCGAACGGAAAGGCGAUGCUUUUGUGGGGUGCACGAGUGCCGAACGCGUGAGUAACACGUGAGUAUACUGCCCCUGACUUUGGGAUAAAUUCAGGGAACUGGGGCUAUUAUAGGAUAGGAGCUCCUGCUGCAUGGUGGGGGUUGGAAAGAUACGGCGGUUGGGGCUGGGCUAGCGGCUUAUCCGCUUGUUGGGCGGGUAGUGAAUUACCAAGGCUAUGACGGGUAGCCGGCCUGGGAGGGUGGCCGGCCACAUGAGUACUGCGGUACGGCGCAGACUCCUACGGUAGGCAGCAGGGGGGAAUAUUGCACAAUGGGCGCGAGCCUGAUACGGCAGCGCCGCGUUCGGGAUGCCGUCUUUCGGGUUGUGAACAGCUUUCGCCUGUGACGAAGAGUGAGUGACGGUAAUGAGUAAAGAAGCACCGGCUAACUACGUG